CAGCCAUCUGCAGCCCUUCCCCGUGGCUGGGCCAGGCCACGCCCUACAAAAUGUCGGGGGAAGACACUUGGGGAGACGGGGCAAGAGGCCGGGCCGGAAGGAGGUCUGGAUCAACAGUUUCAUAACUGACGAUGUGUUGGCUUGGCUGUGCAAGCGGAGGGUUUAGCAGGACCAGUUUGAGCCCAGCCUGGUGUGCGGAGGCGUCUUCCGGAUGGCAUUGGACUCCCAAGGGACCCCAAAUCACCGAAAGCAGGGUUGCUGUGUAGAGGCCCCGAAAGAGAAUGGAGAAGGCUGGGCCAGCGCCCGGGGCACCCCUUCCUCUGAGCCGGGCUCUACCCCCGCGCCUCCCGAGGCACAUCCCUGGUCCCUGUUCCUGGAAACGGGCCUACUUCCUCCACCCACCCCUCACGUAAGUGUCCCCAUCUUCCCUUACCCCUCCCAUGCUCCUCCCAACUCUGGGUUUGACUCCAAGGAGCCACAGCACCCUGUCCUUCAGGGGCUGCGCUGCGUCCCCCAGGAGGCCCUGGUGCCAGACGGUCGGGAAGGAGGGAACCCUCUCUGCAGGGAGGGGCUACCUGGUCCCCCGAAGGGGUGUGGGUGCUCUGGGCAGAGGGAACCAC
Molecule: long non-coding RNA, 620 nt
Filed under: Heterocephalus glaber (naked mole-rat)
Lineage: Eukaryota; Metazoa; Chordata; Mammalia; Rodentia; Bathyergidae
Description: lncRNA (ENSHGLG00100037911.1)
Source: RNAcentral